Oncorhynchus tshawytscha (Chinook salmon) is the source of this 831-nucleotide long non-coding RNA. Lineage: Eukaryota; Metazoa; Chordata; Actinopteri; Salmoniformes; Salmonidae. The record is from Ensembl.
GAGAGAGAGAGAGAGAGAGAGAGAGAGAGAGAGAGAGAGACAGAGACAGAGAGAGAGAGAGAGAGAGAGAGAGAGAGAGAGAGAGAGAGAGGGAUAGAGAGAGAGAGAGAGAGAGAGAGAGAGAGAGAGAGAGAGAGAGAGAGAGAGAGAGAGAGGGAGAGAGAGACAGAGAGAGAGGGAUAGAGACAGAGAGAGGGAGAGAGAGACAGAGAGAGAGGGAUAGAGAGAGAGAGAGAGAGAGAGAGAGAGAGAGAGAGGGAGAGAGAGAGAGAGAGAGAGAGAGAGAGAGAGAGAGAGAGAGAGAGAGCUCAUCACCAUUUGACACGCUAGUUCCACUAAACAGUCUUCACUAUGGCACAUUGACAACCUUUUCCCCUUUAGUGGGUUUCAAACGGAGCGGUUUAACUGACUCUGAAUAACUGCCAAGCAGGCAGGGAACAAAGGAAGGAAGAACAUAACAAGGUCUCGUUGUUCUGUACGAACUGGCAUCCCGGCUGUACGAUACAUCCUGGGCCUGUAUGUCUCAAGAGUCUCAGAGAUAAAGAGCACUGAUCUUGAAUCAGUUUUAUACAUUAUAAUGAUUAAGAUUAUACGGGCCAAAGGGAGAACUGAUCGUAGAUCAGCAACACCUACUCCGAGAGGCUUUGUGAAUACGGGCCUUGGUCCCUACUGUAGGAGAGUUCCUGUCCCUAGACAUUAACGUUGAGAGCUGCACUGUUGGUUAAAGGGGAGCUUGUAGGUAAGGUCUACACUGUUGGUUAAAGGGGAGCUUGUAGGUAAGGUCUACACUGUUGGUUAAAGGGGAGCUUGUAGGUAAGGUCUACACUGUUG